ACCCGCACAAGCGGUGGAUGAUGUGGAUUAAUUCGAUGCAACGCGAAGAACCUUACUACCCUUGACAUGUCCGGAACUUGCCAGAGAUGGCUUGGUGCCCGAAAGGGAAUCGGAACACAGGUGCUGCAUGGCUGUCGUCAGCUCGUGUCGUGAGAUGUUGGGUUAAGUCCCGCAACGAGCGCAACCCUUAUCAUUAGUUGCUACGCAAGGGCACUCUAAUGAGACUGCCGGUGACAAACCGGAGGAAGUGGGGAUGACGUCAAGUCCUCAUGGCCCUUAUGGGUAGGGCUUCACACGUCAUACAAUGGUCGGUACAGAGGGUUGCCAAGCCGCGAGGCGGAGCCAAUCCCACAAAGCCGAUCGUAGUCCGGAUUGUUCUCUGCAACUCGAGAGCAUGAAGUCGGAAUCGCUAGUAAUCGCAGGUCAGCAUACUGCGGUGAAUACGUUCCCGGGUCUU
Molecule: ribosomal RNA, 457 nt
Filed under: uncultured Thiobacillus sp.
Lineage: Bacteria; Pseudomonadati; Pseudomonadota; Betaproteobacteria; Nitrosomonadales; Thiobacillaceae
Description: bacterial SSU rRNA
Rfam family: Bacterial small subunit ribosomal RNA
Source: RNAcentral